ACCUGUGUCUGGAAGAGAUC
RNAcentral lists this ribosomal RNA (20 nucleotides) under Phytophthora infestans (potato late blight agent). RNAcentral's name for it is "partial small subunit ribosomal RNA". The record is from RNAcentral. Lineage: Eukaryota; Oomycota; Peronosporomycetes; Peronosporales; Peronosporaceae. RNAcentral also lists the same sequence under 1 other name.